Molecule: ribosomal RNA, 918 nt
Filed under: Triticum aestivum (bread wheat)
Lineage: Eukaryota; Viridiplantae; Streptophyta; Magnoliopsida; Poales; Poaceae
Description: partial small subunit ribosomal RNA
Source: RNAcentral
AUGAGCUCGUCGACGACGUCCGGGCAGGGGCAGGGCGAGGGCGACGAGGCGCCGGACCUGGUGUGCGUGGUGGACUGCGUCCAUGGCAUGGUCGACGCCCUCUCCUGCGUCCGCUGGAACAAGCAUCAGGGCGCGGUGGUGGAGCUGUCGGAGCACGGCAUCGUGGUCACCGUGGAGGAGAGCGGCUGCCUCCAGGCCAAGGUCUACCUCAAGACCGAGCUGUUCGCGGAGUAUGACUACGGGGCGGAGGGCCGUCCACGGUUCGGCCUCAGCCUGGGGCUCCUCGUCGACUGCCUCAACAUGUUUACCGUCCCCGGGUUCGCCUCCCCCGUCGAGAUCCGGUACCCUGGCCCCGACAUGCAGCUUCUCCUCAGGUCAGUGGGGUCUCCAGAUGCAUGUAUACAUGCAGAAAUCAGAACCAGAAUUCCUGAUACUGUCGCCUGGGAUUACCAUUUUGAGCACGCAGGGAACACUCCAGUCACUUUUACUGUUAAGUCUGCCAUCCUGAAAGAAUCAAUUGAUGACCUUGAGUGGCCUGGCUCCAGCAUUCAGAUUCAUUUUCAUCCGGACCCCCCUUCAGUAAUAUUUAAAGGCGAAGGGCAUGGUGACUUGGAGAUUGAAUUCUCCUACUAUGCAAAUACCGAUCUUCUAAUUGCAUUCCAGUGUGACCAAGAACUGUCCUACAGGUAUAAGUACAAGUUUCUUCGUGCCACUACCUCGAAUGUUCCAAGUAGCGUCUUGAAGGAGAAUCGUGGGAGUAAAGUGACGAUUGGGAGGGGAGGGAUGCUCAAAAUCCAGCACCUGGUUUCAGUUGCGAGGCUAGGUACGCAAUCCUACCAUAAUUUUGCUGGAGGGGCUCAACAUCCAAGUCGGAUUGCUUUUAUCGAAUUCUUUGUGAAGCCGGAGGAGGAGGAUUAA